CUACGGGGGGCAGCAGUGGGGAAUAUUGCACAAUGGGCGCAAGCCUGAUGCAGCCAUGCCGCGUGUAUGAAGAAGGCCUUCGGGUUGUAAAGUACUUUCAGCGGGGAGGAAGGGAGUAAAGUUAAUACCUUUGCUCACUGACGUUACCCGCAGAAGAAGCACCGGCUAACUCCGUGCCAGCAGCCGCGGUAAUACGGAGGGUGCAAUCGUUAAUCGGAAUUACUGGGCGUAAAGCGCACGCAGGCGGUUUGUUAAGUCAGAUGUGAAAUCCCCGGGCUCAGCCUGGGAACUGCAUCUGAUACUGGCAAGCUUGAGUCUCGUAGAGGGGGGUAGAAUUCCAGGUGUAGCGGUGAAAUGCGUAGAGAUCUGGAGGAAUACCGGUGGCGAAGGCGGCCCCCUGGACGAAGACUGACGCUCAGGUGCGAAAGCGUGGGGAGCAAACAGGAUUAGAUACCCCCGUAGUC
RNAcentral lists this ribosomal RNA (464 nucleotides) under uncultured bacterium. RNAcentral describes it as "partial 16S ribosomal RNA". It matches the Rfam family "Bacterial small subunit ribosomal RNA", at positions 339 to 795 of the family's 1533-position model. The record is from RNAcentral.